CGCGGGGCGCUGCGUGUGGAGCUGCCGGCGGGCCGGAGCGGCGCAGCCCUGAGGAGGAGGGCGUUUUCGGGGAGGACGGCCAGGGGAGCGGAGACAUUGCCCCGAGCAUCUUCUGACAAGCUUGAAACUAAGUUGAGGAGACUAGAGCGGACUGGUGACCAAGUCGGCUUCUCUGCGAUCCACAGCGGGGACCCGUUCUUAGAUGACUUUCAGGCUUGAUGGAUUGCCCACAAUCUAGGAUUGCCCAUGUUUUGAAGCGUGUGAGGAGCGCAUCACCGUACGGCCUUGGAGGAGUGCUUCGCUGCCUGGUUCUUUUGGAGCACUUCAUCGUUUGGCUUUUCCAGAGUGUUUCAUUGUGUGGCUUUUCUUUGGAGUGCCAAAAUGCCCGGUGUAGCGAACUGGGAGUGUAGCGGAGUGCAUCACCGCGUCGCCCUGGAGGAGUGCAUCAGCAUUUGGUAUUUUGGGAGCUGUUUGCUGUUUGUUUGUUUUUUGGGAGCUCUCCAUCCCAGCCCUUUUUUGGAGCCUUCUGGGCCUCGGUUGUUUGGAACUCUCUACCCCAGGAUUUUUGGGAGCACUCCAGCCUGGAGAUUUUUUAGAUCUCUCCACCGUGUUUUUUUUUCGGAGCACUUCACUGUUUGGAUAUUUUGGAGCUCUCCAGCGCGGGGUUUUUUGGGAGCUCUCCACCGUGGGGUUUUUUGGGAGCUCUCCACCCCGGGGCUCUUUGGAGCAC
Long non-coding RNA from Gymnogyps californianus (California condor), 730 nucleotides. RefSeq lists it as uncharacterized. The record is from RefSeq and is a predicted model, not a curated record. The transcript has 3 exons. Lineage: Eukaryota; Metazoa; Chordata; Aves; Accipitriformes; Cathartidae.